GGGAGGUAGUGACAAUAAAUAACAAUACGGGGCUCUUUUGGGUCUCGUAAUUGGAAUGAGUACAAUUUAAAUCUCUUAACGAGGAACAAUUGGAGGGCAAGUCUGGUGCCAGCAGCCGCGGUAAUUCCAGCUCCAAUAGCGUAUAUUAAAGUUGUUGCAGUUAAAAAGCUCGUAGUUGAAUUUCGGGGUCAGUAGGUUGGUCGUGCCUAUGGUAUGUACUGGCUUUACUGAUUCCUCCUUCUUGAAGAACUGUAAUGUCAUUAAUUUGGUGUUGCAGGGAAACAGGACUGUUACUUUGAAAAAUUAGAGUGUUUAAAGCAAGCAUUAGCUUGAAUACAUUAGCAUGGAAUAAUGAAAUAGGACGUUUGAUCCUAUUUCGUUGGUUUCUAGGAUCGACGUAAUGAUUAAUAGGGAUAGUUGGGG
This 423-nucleotide ribosomal RNA is filed under the name uncultured Glomeraceae. RNAcentral's name for it is "SSU rRNA". It matches the Rfam family "Eukaryotic small subunit ribosomal RNA", at positions 459 to 887 of the family's 1831-position model. Lineage: Eukaryota; Fungi; Glomeromycota; Glomeromycetes; Glomerales; Glomeraceae. The record is from RNAcentral.